UAUUCCUAGGGUUAAACCGCGUGCACCACCACCACCGUCUACUCAAGAAGCAUUGACAGCCUAUUUUCACCACCCUGGACACCUUCCAGCAAAGAAAACAGGAUACUAGACAAACCUACAGUUCACUAAAUUCAACAAUCCGAUCCGCGAUGCUAUGCAACUAGUUUACUACAAAUAAUUCUUGUGAUUUCAUUGUCAUUGUGUCCUAAACUGGGCUUUAAUAACUCACCUUGAUACUGGACUAAAUCUGCCCUUUCAAGUGUCUAUUAUUAUUUAUCUGAAGUUGUAAUUAGGAAUCAAGCCAAAAGGUAGUUCUGAAUUGUCAGUUUAAGAUGUUUUAGUCUUUGUUCAGUUUAGGCUUUUUGGAGAAAAAAAAUCACCUCCUGAAUCCCAGUUAUAAAAUCUUUAUUGCAGAAUUCAGACUCUAAUUACAUAUUCGGUCUAGUAUUCUUGGAGAAGAAAUCGCCUCUAGACUCUGAUAAGGUUUAAUUAAAAAGCUUUUCAGUUAACCCAUUAAAGGCCUAAGAAUUUAUCUAUUACAGAACUUUUAACUGCACCAAACUAGAUCUAUGUACAACAUCUGAACCAAAAUGCCUCUUUAUUGCUUGAACACGAGGGCGAAAAAAUACACAUAUUCUUAAGAGUACAGAAAAUUCGGAGUGUACAUAUAAUUCCAGUUGACAUGAAUGACUAACAUGGAUCUUAUGACGUAGCUGGACAACGUAGCUGGACAUAGGGGUGAGCAUCGGACGGUUUGGGCGGUUUGAAGGGUCUAAACCAAACCAAACCGAAAUAAUCGGUUUCUCAAAAUCUCAAUCCAAAACCAAACUAUUAUGUUUAAAAUCCAGACCAAACCAAUCCGUUUAAAAUGGUUCGGUUCGGUUCGGUUUGGUUUCGGUUUAAACCGUUUUUUAUAUGUAAAACAAAGUUAGCAACAAAAUUAAAUUUUAACUUGAAAAAUAAGGAAUGAAAAAUUGAAUUUAUAUUUUCUAUUUAAUCAUAUUUAAAGAGGAUCCAAGAAUAGAUUAGCUGGAUAGAUAAAAAGAGACGGAAGAAAAUAAAAAAAAAAUGUGAUUCGUAUACUUUUAUAAAAAUAUAAAUAAAAAGAAUGGAAACAUUAUACAUACAUCGAAAUUAAUAUAAUGUGAUUCGUAUACUUUUAUAAAAAUAUAAAUAAAAAGAAUGGAAACAUUAUACAUACAUCGAAAUUAAUAUCAUAAAAUAGAAUAAAUAAUAUUAUUAAAGAAAAUCUUUACUAGGAUACAUUUUAUAUGUUUAAGAUUUUACAUUUUUUCGUAGAUUAUAAUUUUAUUUUUAAUAAUACAUUAUUAGUACAUGUAUAUUAAUAUUUAAAUCUACACAUUCGGUUCGGUUCGGAUUUAUCGGUUGGUUUGGAGGUAAAAACCAAAACCAAACCAAAAUAAUUCGGUUUUUAUAAUUUGAAACCAUAACCAAACCAAACCGUUAUUAAACCGUUAAAUUCGGUUUGGACGGAUUGGAUCGGCCGAUUUCGGUCGGUUUGGAGAAUUUUUGCUCACCCCUAGCUGGACAUGAGAGCACGUCCUAUAGAUUAGCUAAAUGAACUCCUUCACUCAUAGAUGUAUCAAAAAAGAGGUACUUCCGUUGCCUAAAUCCCCAGCACAUCCUCAAAUCUUCUACCGAUUACCUAUUUUUUUAGUAACCUCUAGCAGUAAUCUAUUCAAUAUAUAUGAAUAAAAAAUUCAUCUCCCUCUUCUUUCUUUAUCUUUUCCCCACUUCUCUCUCAAAUUUAUUAUUUUGGAGUUGACACAGAUUACCUAAAUCACUAAAAAUCACUAAGAUUCAUUAUUUUGUAUUAUUAAUAAGUAACGAGAUAGGUAAUCUAUUGGACUUGCUUUAAACUAAUACUAACUUGUCCCACUCAUUUCUUACAGUAACAUUUUUCACGGCUUGACACGCAUUAAAGUGUGUGCCACAUCCCUGUCUCACAAUGUUAAGAAUUGAGAUAGACAGAGGCUGUAUAGUUCAGUACCCUCUUUGUAACGCUUCAAGGUAAAUAGCGGGACAUAACGGAUAAGGACAUGGUCUUUGUCGCAUUAUACCCGAGCCUCAGGCCCAGGGGUGACGAUUUCGGGUAACGGGUCGUGUUCGUGUCAGCAAUCGGGUCGAUUUCGGGUCAAGUUAAAAUCACUUAAAAUUGAAUAAAACUGAAAAUUGAAGUUAUUAGAAAUGAAAUUAUAAUUUCGGGUCAUCUCGGGUCCAUUUCGGGUCAAUCGGGUGAUUUUCGAGUCACUUUCGGGUUUCCGUCUCAAUAAAUCGGAUUUCAGGUUGGGUCGGGUUCGUGUCGGGUUUCGGGUCGUGUCUGAUGUUGCCACUCAGCUCUCAAAAAUGAAGUCACCGCCUCACUGGUCCCAUAUAACACUCAUCCAUGCAUACAGAAGAUUAUUAAUAUAAAACUCAAGAUUUCAAACUUUAAAGUAUUAGUGGAAGUUUGUUAGGCAAUUUAAGCACCUGCAGUAGUACCAGUGGCCAACUUGGUGCAUAUCGGCAUAUACAUAUCAGGAUCAUAUUGAAAUUUAUACUUAAUUAUUACAUGAUUCCCAUGCAUGCUCAAGACGUAUCAAUCAUUUGUCAUUUGUGAGUUGUGACUUCAACACUAAAUCCAGUUAGAAUUUACAUAGAUGGAGACAAGUGUGUGAAGAUAACAAAGGUUGUCAUUAAGGGCACAGCAUAAUAGGCUUUUAUUGUGUAAUAGUAUUUCUACUUUUAAAUUAAAAAAAAUAGUGGAUAUUAAUAAAUAAAUUUUAUAUUUUGAUUAUACUAAUGAAAUUAUAUGUUUGAUAAUUAUUUUUAUAGGGGUGUUAGCUGGUUUACUAAACAUGUUUCAUAUUCUGCUCACAUCCAAUCAACUACUACCCUCAUAUAUUUUACCUAUAUUAUUUACACGAGUCAGUCACUGUUUCUUCAUAAAACUACUUCCUAUUUUCAUUUAUAUAGUAAUUAAUAUUAUUACUGAAAUUUUCUUUAAACAAGCUUGUAAUCUUGUAACAAAUCUCUGGUCGAGGGGAGAUUAACUAGGUUUGUCUGUUUAUUUUCUGUCUCAGCAAAUUAGCCAAAAGAAACAUCUUUACGCACAUGCUCUAAUGAAGUACUGUAAAAAUUAGUCCCCGAUUGAAGCACAAGCCACUAUUACUAGAAUAGGGACAGCCAGUUCAGAAGCCUCAACCAGAAUCUAAACUGCUAUUUGGUAAAUCACCAGUUCCAGUCAUCCAUCAACAGCCAGAUAUGUUGAAGAAAAAACCUUCACAUUGGAAUCACAUGCCAAGUCCGGCCUCUGCACCUCCUGUGUAUACCAUCGAGCCACCGAAGCAUCCUGUCUAUCCAGGUAACGAUCCACCACCACCUGCUUGCAAGGCCUCGACUGCAUAUGAUUACCAAUAUGGACACCCUCCAGCAGAUGAAACUGGGAACUAGAUUAACCUACACUUAACUGAAUUUAACCAUCCUGUCCCGCCAUGCUAUGCAACCAGUUUACUAUUUCAGCACAAAAAUCAGCCAUGAAUGGAGGCAAUAAUUGUAUUUUAACUUUAUUUUAGCAACAAAACCAUUGUUUUGUGCCAGAAUAUAGUAAUAGCUACAAAUAUUUUUAACAAUGAAUUUGCUCUAAAGCAUUGAUUGAACCUAGUCAGUCCAAGGACUCGUUAUGGUAAAUAUUGAAUAUACAUUUUGUCUGUGAUAACAUUCAAUCUAAUGUACUUUGAGUUAUUAACCUAUAAGAGGUAACUUCUAAUAGCUAAAAAAUUCACAAAACUAAUUAGAAGAAUAUGCCGCAAAGUGAGAUAAAAUGCUUAGAUCAUUCUACUUGUUGGCUGGUCCGACCUGGAAACACCUCGUGUAACAGGAUUGCUAGAAUCCCUCCCCCCCUUGUGCCGAUAUCCCUUUCAAAGAUGACUUAGAGACUUCAUCAAUGACUUGUAAGCCACGGUUUUCAAUUCUUGUGUUGGCAGAGUCGAUGACUUCCUAUUCUCUCUUAUUUUCCAAAUGGUUUACUACUAGCUAGUGUCUUAGGUUGUGUUCACUUGGGUAGAAUGGAAUGGAGGGAAAAUUUAAUGAAUUUUAUACACUAAAAUGGGGUUGAUUAGAGAAAAUGUCUUUAAUUUUCAUUCCUUCGAUCAUUUCAUUCAUAUUAUUUUAACUAGAAUUUUAACCCACAUGUUUUGGAAAGAAUGCUCAUUUCAUCUUUACAUAUUUCCUUACAAUCUUUAUCAAAAGAAAUUAACACCCAUUCAUAUUUAGUCAUUAUUAGCUCUUGCUUUCUUCUUUCUCCAUAAAAUUUCUGUAUAAUUUUUCAUCCCAUUCGCCUCUCAUUCCAUUCUAUCCAAGUGAACACAGCCUUAUAGUCCAAUAUCUCAACUCCAAUGUACACCAAGACAUCCUCACUCGUUCAUCAACGUCAACCAAUAAUGACAGAUCUUUUGUUAAAAUCCAUACCUCUUCAUGAGAAAGAAAAACUAACAUUCAACAAUGUAGACUUGCAUCUAUUCAAGUCCUGUAGUGAUGACCAAGAAACGGUAUAAUAAGAAUGUGGCCAGCUUGAGUUGAUCUUAUAGCAUUGGAGACUACAGACGGGACCAGCAAAAAGAGGAAGCAGGCAAAACCCACUGGGGGUGCUCUAAGUCCAAAGUUUUCCAGCUUCUUCAAACCCCAAGACAAGUUCAUCCUGCUCAGGAAUUGAUAUCCACAAUUAUUACACAUAUAUUCUGUAGGCUUACAGGGAUGACCAAGACCUCCUUAUAAAACACAUCCACCCUAAAUGAUUAUACACCAUCCAAAACAAAACUACACCACAUGUCUGUCGACUACUUGCUUAGCCUACUCGUUUUGGGAGCAGUGGUUCUCACUGCUCCUUCCCUUGCUCUUCGUUAUCCGAAUCAUAAUCCCCAACCAAAGCACAAGCCAAUCUCUUUUUCUUUUUUUUUGCUAAAUAAAAUUUUAUAAGAAAACAGGGAGAAACAAGAUCUAGGGGCAUACCCCGCGGCAAGGACUUGAUACAAGCAUCAAAGUCAAAGAAAGGAAAUCUGCUAAAGACAGGAAUCCACUGAGGGAAACAGCUAAACAACAAGAACUAAAAAAAGACUAGCCCAGGAACAAUACACAAACUACAAAAACUACAAUUGAAACUGAGCAUAAGGCAAACUAGUAAAUAAGACAUAAGAAAGAUGGGUCCCGAUGCACCCAUUUUCUAAAUCAGAGCACCAACCGCCACUUCAUAAACCACCACCAGAACACAAACUGUUGUUUCAUAAACCACCAGUUCCAUUGAGUCCUCAACAUCAAGAAACGUCAGAGAAAAAGCCAAUACGCUGGAAUCUCAGGCCAAGUCCCGCCUCUGCACCUCCCCUUCAUUUAAGUUCUGUUCCACCACCGCCCUCAUCUGUCAGCAUGAAUAAUCACCACCCUUGACACAAUCCGCAGAGAAUAAAAUCCACCAGAGGCAGAGCUCAGAGGUAGCACAGGGUGACCUAUCAUAUAGGAACGGAAAUAUGCAACCUCACUAUGAUUAUGAUUUCGUUGUCUGUAAACUUCUUUUACAAAGUAUCUUAUUCCCCGUUUAGGGAUUGAAUAAUGAUGUUUGAAUUUUGUUAUCAUCAGAUAUCUUUUAUAUUUAUUAGAAUUUCAUUAAUUGUUUAUAAGGGGUUCAUUCUCAGAAAUGUCACAUAGAUAUCCCAUGUCUGUGAUCCACCAUACCAAGUUGCAACUAGUUUACUAUAUAAGCUUGCUGUUUCAGUUAUUAACUUAUAAGAGAUGAAGUAUAGAAACUAGAAAACACCAUAAAACAAAUUAAAAGACUAUGCAUGAAGUGAAUAUAACAGAGCUCACCGUCCGGAUUGUAAUACUUACAAAAAUUUAACUCCCUCGUAUACUGAAGGAUGUGGACUGUUGCUUCGGUUUGGCUAACUCCAAAUUGGAUCAGGUUUUACAUUUUUUGUAGGAAAGUUAUUCAUCAAAAACUGUAUUCUACUUUAUAUUUUUACUUUUUUUUAAGCUACUCAAUAUUCUUAUUAUCUUCAGAAAUUGUGAUGAUAUAUAAACAGACUAAUCUUAUGUAAUACGGCAGGAACACCUGUGGCUACUUAAAAGUUGUCACAUUUCUUCCAUUCCUAUCCUUUUUUCUUCUUUUCUCAACGGUUUACAACUUGGUAAGCCUUAAAGUCCAAUGCUUGUAGCUCCAGUAGACUCCAAGACAACCCCGUCCCUUGAAAACCUUUACUUAGAUAGCGAAAUUAGUGUCCACUGUUGUACAUUCUACGCCAAUAGUUAUGACCAAGAACAUCUAUAAAAACCAGUGUUCUAAAAGUCGGCGAUUAAUCGGGAUUAAUCGCCGAUUAAUCGCUGUUCGGUCGGCCACCGUCUCGAUUAAGCGUUAAUCGGUGAAAAAAUCGUUUUUUUAGGAAAUCGGCCAAAAUCGGGAUUAAUCGGUCAGAAGUCGGGAUUAAUCGGAAAAAGUCGGUCAAAAAUCGGUGAAUUUAAAAAAAUUAAAAUAAAAAGAAUUUUUUUUUAAAACUUUAAAUUUAAUUACCUUGAUUCUUUUAAUAUUAGCUUCUAAACUAUAAUUACAUAAAUUUGCAAUAUCUUCUUUCGCAGAAUUAAUUAAAUUCAAGUUUAUAUAUGAGAUGACUGGACUUGUAUAUGUAUAUCAGUGUUCUAAAAAUCGCCGAGUCGGCCGAGUACUCAUUCCGAGUACUCGUUUUUUACCCCUCGUCCGAUCCGAGUUCCGAGUAAUCGGGUUCAAAAUCGAUUUAUUAAAAAAUAGGUCAAAACUCGGUUUGACUCCGAGUACUCGAGGUCAAAUCCGAGUUUGACUUAUCAAUUUUUUUAUUGUUUUAUUUGAAAAUUAUUUCAAAAGAGACUAAACGUAAAUUUAUAUAUGUUUUAUUCUUUUUUUGCAAAGUAUUGACAUUAAUUAGACAGUAUAUGUGUUUUAUCAUUAAAACUUGUGAAUGAUUAUUAUGUCAAAAACUAUCAAACAAGUAACUUUUAUUUGAACUUCAUUAUAACAGUUGUGUUAUUAAAAUAUUAAUAUUAUUAGAUAAUUUUAUUAUUAAUCAGUCUAUAACUAUAUACGAGAGAAAAAAUUAAUUAAAAAAAGCCCGAUUAGUUAUCCGAUAACUCAUUCCGAGUACUCUCCCGAGUUCCGAGUACUCAUUUUUCCGGAACCAAAUCGAGUUGGACCGAGUUCCGAUUUUUACAACAUUGAUGUAUAUAAAGGCAUGUUUUGUGUUAUAAAAAAUCAUUAAUUUUUUGAUUUUAUAUGACUAUAAAUUUAUACUAUAUAUAAUUAUAUUAAUAUAUAUUAUUUAAAAAAUAAUAUUAAAUUGAUUACGAUUAAUGAUCCGAUUAAUCACUCCGAUUAAUCUCCGAUUAUCCGAUUAAUCGCUAGACGGUGCCUUCACCGACUAAGUCCGAUUCCCGCUUUUUACAACACUGAUAAAAACCAUCAAUACGUCUUUCUAUGAUCAAUAUCCAAAUCCAAAUUCACCAUAAUAGAUGUUUAUAAUCAACUGCUUUAACGUGGUACUCAUUUUGGGUGCAGUUGUUCUGACUGCUCCCUCCCUUGCUCUUCGCUAUCCAAAUCAUAAUCCACAUUCAGUGAACAAGCUGAUAUCACCAGGGUACAAACCACAAGUUCAUAAGCUACCACUAGGAUACAAACUACUAGUUCGUGAACCACCAGUCCCAGUCAUUCCUCAACAACCAGGACCAUUGGAGAAGAUACCAUAUUCAGAAAAAUGUGUAAAUUUUAAAUUCCAGGCCUGUAGUGAUGAGCAAGGAUUCCUAUAGAAGUCAUCCAGCAGUCUACAUUACAACAUCUAUCCUCCAAUGCACCCAAAUGUUCCUCAACUUCUUGAUCCUAUUCCACAUUUUUGGAAAAAUGGUUUUCAACAUAGCACGAAUGAAAUUGUGAAGCUAAGGCUUUACAUGAUUACAUUUCUUCAUUAAGUUCAUAAUUUUGAGUAGAAAAUAGAACCUGAAGAAUGACAUGCAUAUAAAAUGAAUCUAGCAAGUCAAACUCUUGGGUGCUCAGGUUGGGUAGUUAAGAAUUAUCAGACCUGUAUUCGAGCUCCAAUUGAAUCAAGCCAAAAAAAAAAAGGUAUAUGAUAACUAAGAACUUCUGUAAAACCCUUCUACUCUAAACGAUCAUACACACACUCUAAAACCAAAUACACUACUUGCACCUACUAUUACCAGUGUAUGGACCGCCAGUCCAUACACUACCAUAACGCUCCUGUGAUCACUUCGCAGUUGGUAUUAUGUCUUGUACAUCAUCACAAAUUGCUAAAAUCUAGAAAACACAGCAGGAACAAUGUGAUCACUACUAAAGUUGUCACAUUUUCCCCAUUCCAAUUCUAUUUACUGGAUGGUUUACAACUCUUAAGGCCUUAAAGUCCAAUUUUUGUAGCUCGAAUAGGCUCAGACAAUCCCAUCCUGUUCAUGGUCACAAAGAAAUAUCCACUGCUCUAUAUUCUAGGCCUAUAGCCGAUGACCAAGAACUAGAAAUUCUAUAAAAGACAUCCACUGCUCAUUUUUUGAUCAUAUCGAAACCAAAAUACAUCAAAAUUGAUGGUAAUGAUCAACUACUUAAACCUAGUGCUCAUUGUAGGAGCAGUGGUUCUGACUGCUCGUUCCCUUCCCCUUCGCUAUCCAGAUAACCGUCCCCAAAUGAAGCACAAUCCAGUAUCACUAGAAUAUGGACAGCGAGUUCAUAAGCCACAACCAGAAUCUAAACUGCUGUUUGGUAAAGCACCAGUUCCAGCCAUUCAUCAACAUCCAGAUAUGUUGAAGAAAAAACCUUCACAUUGGAAUCACAUGCCAAGUCCGGCCUCUGCAACUCCUGUGUAUACCAUCGAGCCACCAAAGCAUCCUGUUUAUCCAGGUAAUGAGCCACCACCACCUGCUUGCAAGGCCUCGACUGCGUAUGAUUACCAUUAUGGACACCCUCCGGCAGAUGAAACUGGGAACUAGAUUAACCUACACUUAACUGAAUUUAACCAUCCUGUCCCACCAUGCUAUGCAACCAGUUUACUAUAUCAGCACAAAAAUCAGCCAUGAAUGGAGGCAAUAAUUGUAUUUUAACUGUAUUUUAGCAACAAAAACCAUUGUUUUGUGCCAGAAUAUAGUAAUAGCUGCAAAUGUAUUUAACUAUGAAUUUGCUCUUAAGCAUUGAUUGAACCUAGUCAGUCCAAGGCUUAGUUAUGUUAAAUAUUGAUCACACACUUUGGCUGUGAUAACAUUCAAUCUAAUGUACUUUGAGUUAAUAACCAACAAGAGGUAACAUCUAAUAGCUAAAACAAAUCACAAAACUAUUGAGAAGAAUAUGCAGCAAAGUGAGAUAAAACGAGAGCUUAUAGUCAGAAGAUCGUAUAAUCACCAGGCUGCAAAUAAUUAAAGGCUCAAGUCCAGACAGGAUCAUUCUACUUAUUGGCUCAAUAGAAGACAGGACCAUUCUUCUUAUUGGCUGGUCCCGUGGUCCUGCCUGAAAACACCCCAUGUGACAUAAUUGCUACAGACCGUCCCCCCUUAUGUUGAUAUCCCUAUCAAAAAUGAGUUAAGAGACUUCAUCAACGACUUGUAAGCUGUGGUCUUCAAUUCUUGCGUUGACAGAGUCGAUGACUUCCUAUUCUCUCUUAUUUUCCAAAUGGUUUACAACUAGCGAGUAAGUCUUAAAGUCCAAUAUCUCAACUCCAAUGUACACCAAGACAUCCUCAAUCAACCAAUAAAGACAGGUCUUUUGUUAAAAUCCACACCUCUACAUGUGGAAGAAAAAACUAACAUUCAACAAUGUAGACUUGCAUCUAUUAAGUGCUGUAGUGAUGACCAAGACCUCGUAUAAAAAGCCAUCCUAUAGUCUACAAGGUAACACGACAUUCAUCUCAAGAUACACCAAAAUGUCUCUCAUCUACUUGAACUUGCUCCUCAUUUUCGGAGUAUUGGUUCUCAAUUCCCCUUCCCUUGCAAUUCGCUAUCCAAAUCACAAACCCUCACCAGAGUACGGACGGUUAGUACACAAGCCACCACCAAAAUACAAUCUGCAUUUCCACACACCAGCAGUCCCAGUCAUUCCACAACCUUCAGAAACGUUUAAGACAAAACCAGUCGGGAAUAACAGGCCAAGUCCGGCUUCUAGACCUCCCGUGUCUCAUAUUCCUAGUGUUAAACCGCGUGCACCGCCACCACCGUCUACUCAAGAAGCAUUGACAGCCUAUUUUCACCACCCUGGACUCCUUCCAGAGGAGAAAACAGGAAACUAGACAAACCUACACUUCAUUAAAUUGCAACUUGUUUAUUGAAAUCAGAGUUUCUGAUUCCAUGUUCUACCUUAUAUUUAUCAAAUAUUCUCCUUUGUAGAUCAACGCUCCUGAGGUCGCUAGUAUCAAGUCUUGGUAACCAAGAAUAAGUCCUAUAUAUCCAGUAUUCUAGACGUUCUUUCUUUUAUUUGCCUAUAAAAAUAGAUUAUACACACUCUUGCACUUGUGAAUAAAACUAUCUGCUCCAUUGUAUAUGUAUCUCAGAAUGUCACCUUAGUUCAUCAUGAAUAACAAAAAACUACAACUAAAACCUUGCUUGUCAAAGUCUCAAAGAACAAGGUGCUCUUUCACACAACUAUACGCACAAAUUAACAUUAAAUAACAUUUACAGAAGCUUGUGAUUUCAUUGUCAUUGUGUCCUACCUGGGCUUUAAUAACUCGCCUUGCUCCUGGACUAAAUCUGCCCUUUCAAGUGUCUAUGUAUCUGAAGUUGUAUUUAGGAAUCAAGCCAAAAGGUAGCUCUGAACUGUCAAUGUAAGAUGUUAUGUAGGAAUGCAUUGUCUUAGUCUUUGAUUCAGUUCAGGCUUUUUGGAGAAAAAAUCACCUUUGAAUCCCAGUUAUAAAAUCUUUCUUGCAGAAUUCAGACUAUAAUUACAUAUCCGGUCUGGUAUUCUUGGAGAAGAAAUCGUCGCCUCUAGACUCUAAUCAGCCUCUAGAUUUAUGUACAACAUCUGAACCAAAAUGCCUCUUUAUUGCUUGAACUGACGAGGGCGAAAAAAUACACAUAUUCUUAAGAGUACAGAAAAUUCGGAGUGUACAUAUAAUUCCAGUUGACAUGGAUGACUAACAUAGAUCUUAUGACGUAGCUAAACAAUGUAGCUGGACAUAAGAGCACGUCUAAUAGGUUAGCUAAAUGAACUCCUUAACUCAUAGAUGUCUAAAAAAAGAGGUACUCUCAUUCCCUAAAUCACCAGCACAUCCUCAAAUCUUCUGCUCAUUACCUAUUUUUUAGUAACCUCUAGCAGUUAUCUAUUCAACAUUUAUAAAUAAAAAAUUCAUCUCCUUAUUCUUUCGUUAUCCUUUCCCCACUUCUCUCUCAAAUUUAUUAUUAAAAUAAACUAUAUAAUACAUCCUACUACUCUUUUUGCCACUUCUUACCAGGGCAUACCCUAAGAGUUCAUGCCUAAUUACACUCCAUGCCACUGAGUCAAAUAUUGACUGUCCAAAACUUUUCACUGCUUUACUACACGUCAAACGACAGAGUCGAUGACUUCCUAUUCUCUCUUAUUUUCCAAAUGGUUUACAACUAGCGAGUAAGUCUUAAAGUCCAAUAUCUCAACUCCAAUGUACACCAAGACAUCCUCAAUCAACCAAUAAAGACAGGUCUUUUGUUAAAAUCCACACCUCUACAUGUGGAAGAAAAAACUAACAUUCAACAAUGUAGACUUGCAUCUAUUAAGUGCUGUAGUGAUGACCAAGACCUCGUAUAAAAAGCCAUCCUAUAGUCUACAAGGUAACACGACAUUCAUCUCAAGAUACACCAAAAUGUCUCUCAUCUACUUGAACUUGCUCCUCAUUUUCGGAGUAUUGGUUCUCAAUUCCCCUUCCCUUGCAAUUCGCUAUCCAAAUCACAAACCCUCACCAGAGUACGGACGGUUAGUACACAAGCCACCACCAAAAUACAAUCUGCAUUUCCACACACCAGCAGUCCCAGUCAUUCCACAACCUUCAGAAACGUUUAAGACAAAACCAGUCGGGAAUAACAGGCCAAGUCCGGCUUCUAGACCUCCCGUGUCUCAUAUUCCUAGUGUUAAACCGCGUGCACCGCCACCACCGUCUACUCAAGAAGCAUUGACAGCCUAUUUUCACCACCCUGGACUCCUUCCAGAGGAGAAAACAGGAAACUAGACAAACCUACACUUCAUUAAAUUGCAACUUGUUUAUUGAAAUCAGAGUUUCUGAUUCCAUGUUCUACCUUAUAUUUAUCAAAUAUUCUCCUUUGUAGAUCAACGCUCCUGAGGUCGCUAGUAUCAAGUCUUGGUAACCAAGAAUAAGUCCUAUAUAUCCAGUAUUCUAGACGUUCUUUCUUUUAUUUGCCUAUAAAAAUAGAUUAUACACACUCUUGCACUUGUGAAUAAAACUAUCUGCUCCAUUGUAUAUGUAUCUCAGAAUGUCACCUUAGUUCAUCAUGAAUAACAAAAAACUACAACUAAAACCUUGCUUGUCAAAGUCUCAAAGAACAAGGUGCUCUUUCACACAACUAUACGCACAAAUUAACAUUAAAUAACAUUUACAGAAGC
RNAcentral lists this long non-coding RNA (12586 nucleotides) under Daucus carota (carrot). Its description in RNAcentral is "long non-coding RNA (DCAR_LNC005790)". Lineage: Eukaryota; Viridiplantae; Streptophyta; Magnoliopsida; Apiales; Apiaceae. The record is from RNAcentral.